Molecule: non-coding RNA, 534 nt
Organism: Schizosaccharomyces pombe (fission yeast)
Lineage: Eukaryota; Fungi; Ascomycota; Schizosaccharomycetes; Schizosaccharomycetales; Schizosaccharomycetaceae
Source: the annotation of a GenBank genome assembly
UUUUAAAGCACUUGACAUCGAUGUCAUUAUCGAAGUUGUUUUCUUGACACCAAACUUAAGAAAUACAAAACCUGUAGAAAAAAUUUAGAGAUUGGCACAAAGAAUAGCCAGUUACUCUUAUUUGAUACUAGUAUAAUGACAACUACUACUUUGAAUUUCCAAACUACACAAAAGCAAAUAUUGUUUACAGGAAUGCUAAAAUUAUAGCAAUCAAAACUAAAUUCAAUCAUGAAUGUAUGUUAUUUAACAUCCUUAGAGGUAUAAAUCAGAAAAAAAAAUAGCAACGUCAGCUUAGAUCUUUUCAAUCUUGAAGCGUAAAGUUUUCACCCUCUACUUCAAUUCGUUUUUUUUGUUAUUGAAAACGACUUGCAACUCUUGUUUGACAUACGAAAUUUCGAAUAGAGGAAAUUAAAUACUGAGGAAAUAAAAAGUGGAGAGGAGAAUAAAUUCAGAAAAUGACAGGUAGGAAAACAAAUAGAAAGGGGGACCAGAAAAGAGAGAAAAUGAAGAAGAAAGGGAACGCAUUUGCAUGAU